RNAcentral lists this ribosomal RNA (392 nucleotides) under uncultured bacterium. Its description in RNAcentral is "bacterial SSU rRNA". It matches the Rfam family "Bacterial small subunit ribosomal RNA", at positions 28 to 419 of the family's 1533-position model. The record is from RNAcentral.
GACGAACGCUGGCGGCGUGCUUAACACAUGCAAGUCGAGCGGUAAGGCCCUUUCGGGGGUACACGAGCGGCGAACGGGUGAGUAACACGUGGGUGACCUGCCUUUAGCUCUGGGGAUAAGCCUGGGAAACGUGGGUCUAAUACCGGAUACGACUCCGCGGUGCAUGCUGUGGGGUGGAAAGCCUUGUGCGGCUGGAGAUGGGCCCGCGGCCUAUCAGCUUGUUGGUGGGGUGAUGGCCUACCAAGGCGACGACGGUAGCCGGCCCUGAGAGGGCGACCGGCCACACUGGGACUGAGACACGGCCCAGACUCCUACGGGAGGCAGCAGUGGGGAAUCUUGCGCAAUGGGCGAAAGCCUGACGCAGCGACGCCGCGUGAGGGAUGACGGCCUGG